UGGGGAAUCUUGCGCAAUGGGCGAAAGCCUGACGCAGCGACGCCGCGUGUGGGAUGAAGGUCUUCGGAUUGUAAACCACUGUCGGGAGGGACGAAGCUCUGACGGUACCUCCAAAGGAAGCACCGGCUAACUCUGUGCCAGCAGCCGCGGUAAUACAGAGGGUGCGAGCGUUGUCCGGAAUCACUGGGCGUAAAGCGCACGUAGGUGGGCAGUUAAGUCAGGGGUNAAAGCCCGAGGCUCAACCUCGGAAUUGCCUCUGAUACUGGCUGUCUAGAGUUCGAGAGAGGUGAGUGGAAUUCCUAGUGUAGAGGUGAAAUUCGUAGAUAUUAGGAAGAACACCAGUGGCGAAGGCGGCCAACUGGCUCGAUACUGACGCUGAGGUGCGAAAGCGUGGGGAGCAAACAGGAUUAGAUACCCGUGUAGUCC
Molecule: ribosomal RNA, 426 nt
Filed under: uncultured bacterium
Lineage: Bacteria
Description: bacterial SSU rRNA
Rfam family: Bacterial small subunit ribosomal RNA
Source: RNAcentral